This 506-nucleotide ribosomal RNA is filed under the name uncultured bacterium. Its description in RNAcentral is "partial 16S ribosomal RNA". It matches the Rfam family "Bacterial small subunit ribosomal RNA", at positions 29 to 523 of the family's 1533-position model. The record is from RNAcentral.
AGUGAACGCUGGCGGUAGGCCUAACACAUGCAAGUCGAACGGCAGCACAGGAGAGCUUGCUCUCUGGGUGGCGAGUGGCGGACGGGUGAGGAAUACGUCGGAAUCUACUCUGUCGUGGGGGAUAACGUAGGGAAACUUACGCUAAUACCGCAUACCAGCUACGGGUGAAAGCAGGUGAGCUUCGGACCUUGCGCGAUUGAAUGAGUCGAUGUCGAAUGAGCUAGUUGGCGGGGUAAAGGCCCACCAAGGAGACGAUCCGUAGCGGGUCUGAGAGGAGGAUCAGCCACACUGGAACUGAGACACGGUCCAGACUCCUACGGGAGGAAGCAGUGGGGAAUAUUGGACAAUGGGCGCAAGCCUGAUCCAGCCAGACCGCGUGGGUGAAGAAGGCCUUCGGGUUGUAAAGCCCUUUUGUUGGGAAAGAAAUCCAGCUGGCUAAUACCCGGUUGGGAUGACGGUACCCAAAGAAUAAGCACCGGCUAACUUCGUGCCAGCAGCCGCCGUAA